CAAUAGCGUAUAUUAAAGUUGUUGCAGUUAAAAAGCUCGUAGUUGGAUUUCUGAUCGAGACAUCAGGUCGGGUCCGAGAGGAUCAUGUACUUUGAUUUUGUUUUGAUCAUCCUUGGGGAGAGCAUUUCUGGCAUUCAGUUGUCGGGAUUGGGAUCCUCAUCGUUUACUGUGAAAAAAUUAGAGUGUUCAAAGCAGGCCUCGGCCUCUGAAUACAUUAGCAUGGAAUAAUAAGAUAGGACUUUGGUGGUCUAUUUUGUUGGUUUGCACGCCAAAGUAACGAUUAAUAGGGAUAGUUGGGGGUAUUCGUAUUCAAUUGUCAGAGGUGAAAUUCUUGGAUUUAUGGAAGACGAACUACUGCGAAAGCAUUUACCAAGGAUGUUUUCAUUAA
RNAcentral lists this ribosomal RNA (388 nucleotides) under uncultured eukaryote. RNAcentral's name for it is "partial 18S ribosomal RNA". It matches the Rfam family "Eukaryotic small subunit ribosomal RNA", at positions 592 to 976 of the family's 1831-position model. The record is from RNAcentral.